GGCUAUCAAUGGUUCUAAAGUUUGAGGUUGUGUUUCUUUUUGAUGAACUUCAACUUUUAUUUACAGGUAGUGGGAAGAAGUAGCUGGAAGUAGAAUGCAGCCAAUGAUUGGAUCAAAGUGCUCAUGACAAUGUGUUUUUGACUUUUUAGCUAUAGAUAAAAACUUGGGUUGGACUUACUAGAGGUGGAUCAUUUUGUAAAGAGUGGAAGUGAACUAUGAGACCUGGGUUGUGGAAUCGAAUACCUCUUGCAUUUUGGCUAAGCUUAUUUUACCUUAGCUUUUCGAUGCCAUGAAAUGUAUGUAAAUGGCAUGACACAUUGUGAUGGCUUUAAUAUAACUUGUGUGCUUUAUUUGGUCUAGUUUACAUGUGUUUCAUGACUGUGUAUUAUAUUGUUUGAAUGUAUGACAUGGCACUAUUGAUUGU
RNAcentral lists this long non-coding RNA (424 nucleotides) under Sorghum bicolor (sorghum). Its description in RNAcentral is "long non-coding RNA (SBIC_LNC009954)". The record is from RNAcentral. Lineage: Eukaryota; Viridiplantae; Streptophyta; Magnoliopsida; Poales; Poaceae.